UGCAAACUGCGAAUACCGGAGAAUGUUAUCACGGGAGACACACGGCGGGUGCUAACGUCCGUCGUGAAGAGGGAAACAACCCAGACCGCCAGCUAAGGUCCCAAAGUCAUGGUUAAGUGGGAAACGAUGUGGGAAGGCCCAGACAGCCAGGAUGUUGGCUUAGAAGCAGCCAUCAUUUAAAGAAAGCGUAAUAGCUCACUGGUCGAGUCGGCCUGCGCGGAAGAUGUAACGGGGCUAAACCAUGCACCGAAGCUGCGGCAGCGACGCUUAUGCGUUGUUGGGUAGGGGAGCGUUCUGUAAGCCUGCGAAGGUGUGCUGUGAGGCAUGCUGGAGGUAUCAGAAGUGCGAAUGCUGACAUAAGUAACGAUAAAGCGGGUGAAAAGCCCGCUCGCCGGAAGACCAAGGGUUCCUGUCCAACGUUAAUCGGGGCAGGGUGAGUCGACCCCUAAGGCGAGGCCGAAAGGCGUAGUCGAUGGGAAACAGGUUAAUAUUCCUGUACUUGGUGUUACUGCGAAGGGGGGACGGAGAAGGCUAUGUUGGCCGGGCGACGGUUGUCCCGGUUUAAGCGUGUAGGCUGGUUUUCCAGGCAAAUCCGGAAAAUCAAGGCUGAGGCGUGAUGACGAGGCACUACGGUGCUGAAGCAACAAAUGCCCUGCUUCCAGGAAAAGCCUCUAAGCAUCAGGUAACAUCAAAUCGUACCCCAAACCGACACAGGUGGUCAGGUAGAGAAUACCAAGGCGCUUGAGAGAACUCGGGUGAAGGAACUAGGCAAAAUGGUGCCGUAACUUCGGGAGAA
Molecule: ribosomal RNA, 796 nt
Filed under: Escherichia coli
Lineage: Bacteria; Pseudomonadati; Pseudomonadota; Gammaproteobacteria; Enterobacterales; Enterobacteriaceae
Description: partial 23S ribosomal RNA
Rfam family: Bacterial large subunit ribosomal RNA
Source: RNAcentral